AUGACGACCCACGGGGCGCGCCGCGGUACGGGUCAGCAGCCGGCACGUCUCCCCGGCCCACGGCGGAGGACCAACACUUCCGGCAAUGCAGCGAGCAGGGACUGCGCCUGCGUGCGAGCCACUAGGCUGGCGCGGGGGAUGCUGGGUCCCGAGCGUCGGGGGCGCGCUGAAAUUCAGAACGCGCCCCUCGGGUCGCGCGCGGCGGAGCGGGGCUGCGAGUGGAAAGCCGAGAACGCGGGAAACAUGAAGAGGCAGGGGCUCUCGGGCGAGCGGAAAUCGGCGCCCCUCUCGUCGGGGAAGGCCGGAGCAGCAAAUGGAUUUCUCAUGGAAGUGUGUGUUGACUCAGUGGAGUCAGCUGUGAAUGCAGAAAGAGGAGGUGCUGGUCGGAUUGAAUUGUGUUCUGGUUUAUUAGAAGGAGGGAUCACACCCAGCAUGGGUCUCCUUCAGAUAGUGAAGCAGAGUGUCCAGAUCCCAGUGUUUGUGAUGAUUCGUCCACGUGGAGGUGAUUUUUUAUAUUCAGAUCGUGAAAUUGAAGUGAUGAAGGCUGACAUUCAGCUUGCCAAGCUUUAUGGUGCUGAUGGCUUGGUAUUUGGGGCAUUGACUGAAGAUGGACAAAUUAACAAAGAGCUGUGCAUGUGCCUUAUCGCUCUUUGCCGCCCUUUGCCAGUCACUUUCCACCGAGCCUUUGACAUGGUUCAUGAUCCAAUGGAAGCUCUACAGACCCUCUUAACCUUGGGAUUUGAACGAGUAUUGACCAGUGGAUGUGACAGUUCAGCAUUAGAAGGGCUGCCCCUAAUAAAGCGACUCACAGAUGAGGCAAAAGGCAGGAUUGUGGUAAUGCCAGGGGGUGGCAUAACAGAAAGAAACCUACAAAGGAUCCUCGAGGGGUCAGGUGCCACAGAGUUUCACUGUUCUGCUCGAUCUGCUAGAGACUCUGGGAUGAAGUUUCGAAAUUCCUCUGUUGCUAUGGGUGCUUCACUUUCCAGCUCAGAAUAUUCUGUAAAGGUAACAGAUGUGACCAAAGUAAGAACUUUGAAUGCUAUUGCAAAGAACAGCCUGGUGUAGCCGGAUUUCUCUUAGACACCUGGAGAUCACUGCAUAGAGGUACAAGUGUAAUCUGCAGUUCUUUAUGAGACAGCUUUCACUUGCGCCUCUUCCCAUGGCCCUGGAGAAUGUUCCAAGAAGAAAAAUGCCUUGAAGCAGAGAUGCAGUGACUUCCCCUAAUCUUGCCGACCUUUGCUGUCAUCGUGGUUAAACUGGUCUGUGCUUCCUCCACAGACACUUACUCUGAGAUGAACAGGGAAAGUUCAUCUACAAGUGUCUGUUAACAAGCAGCUGGAAAUGACCCUUAAAUCCACGUACUCAGAUGUGGACACAGGCAUCCUAACUGACGCCAUAAUCAAUAGGCCAAACACCUGCUCUCCUUUAAUUUUGAAGUUUGCAAAGUACAGAUGUCAAGGUGAUGGAGUAUCUCCUGGGUUUUUUCAAAAUUUUUUACUUCCGUCCACUGCUUCACUCCCAAAGUGGCUGCCACAGCUGGAGCUGAGCUGAUCCCAUACCAGGAGCCUGGAGCCUCUUCCAGGUCUCCCAUGGAGGUGCAGGGUCCCAAGGCUUUGGAUCAUCCUCUGGUGCUUUUCCCAGACCACAAGCAGGGAGCUGGAUGGAAAGUGGAGCAGCCAGGACACAAACUGGCACCCAUAAAGGAUCCCAGCAUGUGCAAGGCAAGAAAUUUAGCCACUAGGCUACUGCACCGGGCCUUAUUUACAGUUCUUUUAAACUCUUGCUCUGAUAAUUGCAACAUCCUGGCCUUGUGUGAGUCUAAUGCUUACUCUGUAUCUUCCGAGAGUAUGUAUACUGUGUGCCUUUGUAACCUUUUGUCUCUCUUUUUGAAGUUUAUUUAUAUAUUUGAGAAGUUAAACUAUAGCGGGGAGGGAGAAGAUAGAGAAAGAGGGGAGGAUGCAGGAAGGGUAGGAGGGAGAAAAAUCAAGAUUUUUUUUAACCUGUUGACUCCUCAGUGCCUGGAAUAACCCCGGGCAGCUAGAAGCAAGGAACCAGGAACUUCAUCUAAUGAGUGACAGAGACCCAGAGCAUUUGAACAUCAUGUUGCCUUACAGAUAUGCAUAGAAGCUAAAUUGGAAAUGAUGGCAGAAUAUGAUGCCAGGACUGCAUUGUAAGUGGUGGCAUAAGCCACUAUGGCACAAUAUUCACCACUGCGGUCUUUUCUUGAUAGCUGGAUAUGAUGAAUUGGACAAAGGGAAUUGUUGACAGCAGCCAUUAGCAAUAAAUGGAAGAUGAACUGUCUCAAGUAAACUAUUAAUAAGAAAAUGCCUAUCUGUGCCAGUUGAAUUUUCAUCAUCGCAGUCAAUCUUUUUUCUGGGAAAGACUAUUUCACAGGUAAUACCAAGGAAUUGUUACAGGCUUAUGCAUUUAAUAUUUGAAAUCCCGAACCAAGGACUCUCUUAGAAUGCCUAUGUGUCUUACAAAACUUGUCCUUCAUGUGACUGAAACGGAGCAAGAAAA
Molecule: RNA transcript, 2520 nt
Organism: Ochotona princeps (American pika)
Lineage: Eukaryota; Metazoa; Chordata; Mammalia; Lagomorpha; Ochotonidae
Gene: CUTC
Gene name: cutC copper transporter
Exons: 11
Source: RefSeq, a predicted model, not a curated record